Molecule: ribosomal RNA, 120 nt
Organism: Ursus americanus (American black bear)
Lineage: Eukaryota; Metazoa; Chordata; Mammalia; Carnivora; Ursidae
Source: Ensembl
GAUCUCGUACAUACCACACACCUGAACUCAUCUGAUCUCGGAAGCUAAGCAGGGUCAGGCCUGGUUAAUACUUAGAUGGAAGACAUUGUCUUUCUAGAGAAAUUUUUGACCCAUGAAUCA